Molecule: ribosomal RNA, 429 nt
Filed under: Chloroflexota bacterium
Lineage: Bacteria; Bacillati; Chloroflexota
Description: Chloroflexi bacterium partial 16S ribosomal RNA
Rfam family: Bacterial small subunit ribosomal RNA
Source: RNAcentral
UGGGGAAUAUUGCACAAUGGGCGCAAGCCUGAUGCAGCCAUGCCGCGUGUGUGAAGAAGGCCUUCGGGUUGUAAAGCACUUUCAGCGGGGAGGAAGGCGAUAAGGUUAAUAACCUUGUCGAUUGACGUUACCCGCAGAAGAAGCACCGGCUAACUCCGUGCCAGCAGCCGCGGUAAUACGGAGGGUGCAAGCGUUAAUCGGAAUUACUGGGCGUAAAGCGCACGCAGGCGGUCUGUCAAGUCGGAUGUGAAAUCCCCGGGCUUAGCCUGGGAACUGCAUUCGAAACUGGCAGGCUAGAGUCUUGUAGAGGGGGGUAGAAUUCCAGGUGUAGCGGUGAAAUGCGUAGAGAUCUGGAGGAAUACCGGUGGCGAAGGCGGCCCCCUGGACAAAGACUGACGCUCAGGUGGGAAAGCGUGGGGAGCAAACAGG